UAGUCCACGCCGUAAACGAUGAGUACUAGCUAUUGGGGGUAUUGACUCCCUCAGUGGCGCAGCUAACGCAUUAAGUACUCCGCCUGGGAAGUACGGUCGCAAGACUAAAACUCAAAGGAAUUGACGGGGGCCCGUACAAGCGGUGGAGCAUGUGGUUUAAUUCGAUGCAACGCGAAGAACCUUACCAGGGUUAGACAUGUUUGUGAUUUUCUUCGAAAAAAGAACAUCUCUUUUAGAGCACAUACAACGGUGGUGCAUGGCUGUCGUCAGCUCGUGUCGUGAGAUGUUGGGUUAACGUCCCGCAACGAGCGCAACCCUUUAUUUCUAGUUGCCUAUUUGGAACUCUAAGAAAGACUGUCGGUUAUAAACCGGAGGAAGGCGGGGAUGACGUCAAGUCAGCAUCGCCCCUUUAUCGCCCGUGGGCUACACACGUGCUACAAUGGACAAGACAAUGAGUUACAAAUCUGCGAAGAUAAGUUAAUCUAUAAACUCGUUCUAAGUUCGGAUUGUAGCUGCAACUCG
RNAcentral lists this ribosomal RNA (522 nucleotides) under uncultured bacterium. RNAcentral describes it as "bacterial SSU rRNA". It matches the Rfam family "Bacterial small subunit ribosomal RNA", at positions 791 to 1314 of the family's 1533-position model. The record is from RNAcentral.